UGGGGAAUUUUGGACAAUGGGGGCAACCCUGAUCCAGCCAUGCCGCGUGAGUGAAGAAGGCCUUCGGGUUGUAAAGCUCUUUCGGCCGGGAAGAAAUCGCAUGGGCUAAUACCCUGUGUGGAUGACGGUACCGGAAUAAGAAGCACCGGCUACCUACGUGCCAGCAGCCGCGGUAAUACGUAGGGUGCGAGCGUUAAUCGGAAUUACUGGGCGUAAAGCGUGCGCAGGCGGUUUAGUAAGACAGGCGUGAAAUCCCCGGGCUCAACCUGGGAACUGCGCUUGUGACUGCUAAGCUAGAGUACGGCAGAGGGGGGUGGAAUUCCACGAGUAGCAGUGAAAUGCGUAGAGAUGUGGAGGAACACCGAUGGCGAAGGCAGCCCCCUGGGCCGAUACUGACGCUCAUGCACGAAAGCGUGGGUAGCAAACA
This 427-nucleotide ribosomal RNA is filed under the name uncultured bacterium. Its description in RNAcentral is "bacterial SSU rRNA". It matches the Rfam family "Bacterial small subunit ribosomal RNA", at positions 355 to 774 of the family's 1533-position model. The record is from RNAcentral.